This 556-nucleotide ribosomal RNA is filed under the name Sarocladium sp. ADH17. RNAcentral's name for it is "eukaryotic LSU rRNA". It matches the Rfam family "Eukaryotic large subunit ribosomal RNA", at positions 87 to 664 of the family's 3401-position model. Lineage: Eukaryota; Fungi; Ascomycota; Sordariomycetes; Hypocreales; Sarocladiaceae. The record is from RNAcentral.
CGGCGAGUGAAGCGGCAACAGCUCAAAUUUGAAAUCUGGCCGCAAGGUCCGAGUUGUAAUUUGUAGAGGAUGCUUUUGGCGAGGUGCCUUCCGAGUUCCCUGGAACGGGACGCCAUAGAGGGUGAGAGCCCCGUACGGUAGGACCACCAAGCCUCUGUAAAGCUCCUUCGACGAGUCGAGUAGUUUGGGAAUGCUGCUCUAAAUGGGAGGUGUACGUCUUCUAAAGCUAAAUACCGGCCAGAGACCGAUAGCGCACAAGUAGAGUGAUCGAAAGAUGAAAAGCACUUUGAAAAGAGGGUUAAAAAGUACGUGAAAUUGUUGAAAGGGAAGCAUUCAUGACCAGACUUGGGCUUGGUUGAACAUCCGGCGUUCUCGCCGGUGCACUCUGCCAGUCCAGGCCAGCAUCAGUUUGCCCCGGGGGAUAAAGGCGGCGGGAAUGUGGCUCCCUUCGGGGAGUGUUAUAGCCCGUCGUGUAAUGCCCUGGGGCGGACUGAGGAACGCGCUUCGGCACGGAUGCUGGCGUAAUGGUCAUCAAUGACCCGUCUUGAAACCACGG